This 225-nucleotide unclassified non-coding RNA is filed under the name Hevea brasiliensis (rubber tree). Lineage: Eukaryota; Viridiplantae; Streptophyta; Magnoliopsida; Malpighiales; Euphorbiaceae. The record is from RNAcentral.
CUCCCUUGAUUGAAGUCCAUAUAUCAGCUACAGCAUUAUGCCAAUUGUGUUUUCCCCUAAGACCAUUGUGAGCAGGGACAGACCCAACAUGGGGUCAAGGGGCCCCAAGAUUUUUAAAAGAUUUUAAAAAAUUUUAAGGUUAUAAUGGUUUUUUUGUGUUCCAAAAUAAAAUAAAAUAAAUUAUAAAAAAAUAAAAUGGCAACCAGAGCACCAUACUCAAUUUAA